Molecule: ribosomal RNA, 502 nt
Filed under: uncultured bacterium
Lineage: Bacteria
Description: bacterial SSU rRNA
Rfam family: Bacterial small subunit ribosomal RNA
Source: RNAcentral
CUGGCGGCGUGCUUAACACAUGCAAGUCGAACGAGAGGAGAAGGAAGCUUGCUUCUUCAAAUCUAGUGGCAAACGGGUGAGUAACACGUAAACAACCUGCCUUCAGGAUGGGGACAACAGACGGAAACGACUGCUAAUACCGAAUACGUUCCUUAGGUCGCAUGACUUUAGGAAGAAAGGGUGGCCUCUACUUGUAAGCUAUCGCUAGAGGAUGGGCCUGCGUCUGAUUAGCUAGUUGGUGGGGUAACGGCCUACCAAGGCGAUGAUCAGUAGCCGGUCUGAGAGGAUGAACGGCCACACUGGAACUGAGACACGGUCCAGACUCCUACGGGAGGCAGCAGUGGGGAAUCUUCCGCAAUGGGCGAAAGCCUGACGGAGCAACGCCGCGUGAGUGAUGACGGCCUUCGGGUUGUAAGGCUCUGUGAUCGGGGACGAACGGUCAGCAGACGAAUACUCUGCUGAAGUGACGGUACCCGAAUAGCAAGCCACGGCUAACUACGUG